CUCUCUCUCUUCUCUCUCGUCCGCGCCUUCAGAAACGAAAAUCUUCGACUGACCCGACCCGGACCCGGUCGAUCCGACCCGACUUUUCCGGCGAGCUCCGGCCAUCUCCGGCGACGAGACUUUCCAGAUCAGUUCGCCUCCUCCGUGCGCUCCUCCCUGUGGUGUUCUCUAGCGCCGAUUCUCGGUGGUGACGGCGAUAGAAGGCGGUGCAGAUUGGAGUUUUCGGACCCGACCGGAAAUCCCUAUUCCGACGUCGGAAAGGCUUCGAGUUUUCUUGGUUGAGCUCAGAGCAGCCUCGCCGAUCGAUCCUUGGUGUUUGUUUGGAUCGAUUCACGUGAAACUUCGAUCAACUCAGUUGGGUUUACUGUUCACGGCUUGUGAGGUGCUUCUAAAGGUGAAUUGGACGAGUUGUUGGUGAUAGUUUUGGUUCGGUUCUGUAUAGAAGACGCAGCGGGAGUUUCGAGGGGUUAAUCCUGCAGGGUAGGAUAAUCGGGGCUGAAGCCGAGGUAGCUUGUUGGCAACAGAACAGGUAGG
Molecule: long non-coding RNA, 534 nt
Organism: Rosa rugosa (rugosa rose)
Lineage: Eukaryota; Viridiplantae; Streptophyta; Magnoliopsida; Rosales; Rosaceae
Exons: 3
Source: RefSeq, a predicted model, not a curated record